This 1238-nucleotide ribosomal RNA is filed under the name metagenome. RNAcentral's name for it is "bacterial LSU rRNA". It matches the Rfam family "Bacterial large subunit ribosomal RNA", at positions 1564 to 2810 of the family's 2925-position model. The record is from RNAcentral.
UGAAUACGAGAUGCUACGGCAUCGAAGCAGUCUAUGUCAUACUUCCAAGAAAAGCUUGCACUGUCAUAAACAAAUAAUGCCUGUACCAUAACCGACACAGGUGGGUAGGUAGAGUAUACUAAGGGGCGCGAGAUAACUCUCUCUAAGGAACUCGGCAAAAUGACUCCGUAACUUCGGGAGAAGGAGUGCCUUAUUUUAUAAGGUUGCAAUAACAAGAUCCAAGCAACUGUUUACCAAAAACACAGGUCUCCGCUAAGUCGUAAGACGAUGUAUGGGGGCUGACGCCUGCCCAGUGCCAGAAGGUUAAAGAAGUUGGUUAGCAUUAGCGAAGCUGAUAACUGAAGCCCUGGUGAACGGCGGCCGUAACAAUAACGGUCCUAAGGUAGCGAAAUUCCUUGUCGGGUAAGUUCCGACCCGCACGAAAGGCGUAAUGAUUUGGAUACUGUCUCGGAGAGGGGCUCGGUGAAAUAGACUUGUCUGUGAAGAUGCGGACUACCUGCACCAGGACAGAAAGACCCUAUGAAGCUUUACUGUAACUUGAGAUUGAAAUUGGACUUUAUUUGCGCAGUAUAGGUGGGAGACGUUGAAAAUAUUCUUGCGGGAAUAUUGGAGUCAUCAGUGAGAUACCACUCUUAUAAUGUUAGAUUUCUAACUUUGUAUCAUUAUCUGGUCAAAGAACAGUCUCAGGCGGGCAGUUUGACUGGGGCGGUCGCCUCCCAAACGGUAACGGAGGCGCACAAAGGUUUCCUCUGAACGUGUAGAAAUCGUAUCUAGAGUGUAAAGGCAUAAGGAAGCUUGACUGUGAGACCUACAAGUCGAGCAGGGACGAAAGUCGGUCUUAGUGAUCUGACGGUGCUGAGUGGAAAGGCCGUCACUCAACGGAUAAAAGUUACUCUAAGGAUAACAGGCUGAUCUCCCCCAAGAGUUCACAUCGACGGGGAGGUUUGGCACCUUGAUGUCGGCUCAUCGCAUCCUGGGGCGGUAGUACGUCCCAAGGGUUGGGCUGUUCGCCCAUGAAAGCGGUACGCGAGCUGGGUUCAGAACGUCGUGAGACAGUUCGGUCCAUAUCCGGUGUAGGCGUUAGAAUAUUGAGAGGAGCCUUCUUUAGUACGAGAGGACCGAGAAGGACAUACCUCUGGUGUACCAGUUAUCGUGCCAACGGUAAACGCUGGGUAGCUAUGUAUGGAGAGGAUAACCGCUGAAAGCAUCUAAGUGGGAAGCCCACCUCAAGAUAAGUA